Molecule: non-coding RNA, 260 nt
Organism: Manis javanica (Malayan pangolin)
Lineage: Eukaryota; Metazoa; Chordata; Mammalia; Pholidota; Manidae
Source: RefSeq, a predicted model, not a curated record
UGUUGAAAGAAAAUAAGGUCACUGAGGACCGGCCCAUGGAGUUUCUCCCAGAAGGGGCCAGCAGUGAGGAACAGUGGCUGCAGGGCACUGGGGGAAGGAGAGUGCCCUCCAUGGCCAGAGGAGAUGGAUGGAGCUGCGGCCUGAGGCUCACACGCCCUGGCUGGAGGGAUCGGACAGAGCGGGAGCUGUGGCCAGAAGAGUUGGACUGAGUUGGGCCUGGCUAGCGACUGCAAGAAAUAAAAGCCUUUUUUUCCAACCUA